UACGUAGGUGGCAAGCGUUGUCCGGAAUUAUUGGGCGUAAAGCGCGCGCAGGCGGUUUCUUAAGUCUGAUGUGGAAGCCCACGGCUCAACCGUGGAAGGUCAUUGGAAACUGGGGAACUUGAGUGCAGAAGAGAAGAGCGGAAUUCCACGUGUAGCGGUGAAAUGCGUAGAGAUGUGGAGGAACACCAGUGGCGAAGGCGGCUCUUUGGUCUGUAACUGACGCUGAGGCGCGAAAGCGUGGGGAUCAAACAGG
RNAcentral lists this ribosomal RNA (253 nucleotides) under uncultured bacterium. Its description in RNAcentral is "partial 16S ribosomal RNA". It matches the Rfam family "Bacterial small subunit ribosomal RNA", at positions 524 to 776 of the family's 1533-position model. The record is from RNAcentral.